GCGCUUUUUGCCAUAGAUUUUUGUAAUUUUAGCUUUUGUAUUAAAUCUUAUAACAAUUUAUUUUAGUUUUAUUUGUAUUAAUUUAUUUAGUUAAAUGUUUAAAACUACUGCCUUUGAGAUUUGGCGCCAUGAACAGUCAUCGCCCAAGUUAAUUACUUUAAUCAAAGAACUAGAUGAUCAUUUGGCUGGUGGUUUACCUUUGGGUUUGGUUACAGAACUCUGUGGAGCUCCCGGAGCAGGUAAAACUCAAUUUUGUUUGCAGUUAUGUUUAAAUGUUCAAUUUCCCGAGCAUAUGGGUGGUUUGGGCGGCAAAGCUUUUUUCAUAGACACCAAUCAGGACUUUUCACCUUAUCGUUUAAAAGAAUUAGCUGAACACAUGGAAAAUCAUUUCCAACACACCUUAAAGAAACUUUACUCUAACAUGGCCACCACCUCCUCAGCCUUUAAAGAUUUUUGCACUCCACAACUGUUACAAAAUGUUUCUUAUGUCUAUUGUCACGAUUAUGUGGAGUUUAUGUCUACUAUACAUAAUUUUCGUAAUAUUUUUAUAGAUGAUUUAAAAAUUAAACUCAUUAUUAUUGAUUCAUUUUCAUUUUGUCUUCGUCAAUUGGAUGAUGUAAAAAUAAGGACUCGUAUAAAUUAUGAGAUUUUAAAUGAUUUGCAAACUUUGGCCAUGGAAUUUAAUGUGGCGGUAGUUAUUACAAAUGAAUUGACAACGCGUCAUGUAGACAAUCAGUGGUUAGUGGCUCCUGCUCUGGGUGAUUCUCAUACACAUAAAAUUAAUCAACGUUUGUUAUUAAGUCAUGAUGAGGAAAGGGAUUAUCAUGUGGUAAUGGUGGAUAAAUCAGUUUUAUGUGAUAAAAUCUCCAUAGGAUUUAAGAUAAAAUCCAGUGGAAUACGCAGUAUAACAACAUGAGAUUGUAACUUUUAUAGUGACUGUAUAAAAAUCUUACCAACCAAAUGCUUAUAGAGGGGCCGUUUUUGGGUAGCCUUCAUGGGAGUAGAGCCGGUAUUGUUUGUAGAUUACUGCUGUGACUGCAAAUGUGUCAGUAUAUUCUCUAAAGUUGAUUGAAAUUAAUAAAACUGCUGGUGCCAGAGAAAAACGUUUCAGUCUUAUAACAAAUUUCAACGCGUUCACAACGUUGCUAUAUACUUGUUAAUUACUGUUAAUUUUUUUAAUUUAAACCAAAAAACCAACUCCCUCCAAAAAAACCAAACAAAAUGAGCUCAGCUGAAUACUAUCCAUUCAAGGUAAAUAUAGAAAUUAAAU
Molecule: unclassified non-coding RNA, 1270 nt
Filed under: Lucilia cuprina (Australian sheep blowfly)
Lineage: Eukaryota; Metazoa; Arthropoda; Insecta; Diptera; Calliphoridae
Description: dNA repair protein RAD51 homolog 3, transcript variant X4
Source: RNAcentral